Long non-coding RNA from Stegostoma tigrinum, 626 nucleotides. RefSeq lists it as uncharacterized. The transcript is spliced from 3 exons. The record is from RefSeq and is a predicted model, not a curated record. NCBI's taxonomy places the organism in Eukaryota, Metazoa, Chordata, Chondrichthyes, Orectolobiformes, Stegostomatidae.
CACCUCUUCGUCAAAAGGAGAGCUCCUACUAUUAUGGGAAGACACACGUACUUCCUUGCAGUUUUCCGACUUGGAAAAGUGAAUCAGGUCAUCAUUGUACAUGUCCUGAGUGUUGAGGAGAUCACUGUAUUCUUUCUGGCUCAAAUCUUCAGGAUUAAUGCCGUUCGCUCGCAAGAACUCCUGCCCGUCCCAGGAUCUUGGUGUUGUCACAGUCGAACUGGUGGCUCUCCUUGUCCAUGUGGAUUGAGAUGAACCUCAUCUUCACCUUCUCUGCUUUAACAGUUCCAGCCUAUCUGAUCUAUCCAUGCUACUGACACCCCUCAUUCCCUGGAAUAAUUCUAAUAAAUCCCUUUUGCAAAGAUACAAGUGCUACAUACAUCUUCUGACUCAAAGACGUGGCAGAUCAUCUUGUACUGCCUCUUCCCAUCAUGGGAAGGGUGAGAUGCUUCCACACUGUCCUGGGAAUUGGAUCGAGGCAUACGUCGACGUGCCAUCAGCACAACAAUAUUCCCAAUGUCUGCGAUGUACGAAAUAGUCCGUAAGGGAUGGUCCAUCAUAGUUUCCUAAGAAAAGGAACGGGAGAGUGACAAGGUAGAAAUUGAGCAGAAUGUUCAACAAUACCAAUA